CCCGCUGAACUUAAGCAUAUCAAUAAGCGGAGGAAAAGAAACCAACCGGGAUUGCCUCAGUAACGGCGAGUGAAGCGGCAACAGCUCAAAUUUGAAAGCCAACUUCUUCGAAGUUCGCAUUGUAAUUUGUAGAGGAUGUCUCGUGGAAGGCACCGCCCUAAGUCCCUUGGAACAGGGCGUCAUAGAGGGUGAGAAUCCCGUAUGGGGGCGGAUGCCGGACGCAUGUGAGACUCCUUCGACGAGUCGAGUUGUUUGGGAAUGCAGCUCUAAUUGGGAGGUAAAUUUCUUCUAAAGCUAAAUAUCGCCUGGAGACCGAUAGCGCACAAGUAGAGUGAUCGAAAGAUGAAAAGCACUUUGAAAAGAGAGUCAAACAGCACGUGAAAUCGUUGAAAGGGAAGCGGUUGCAAUCAGACUCGCUCGUAGGGGAUCAGCCGUCGUUCUCGGCGGCGCACUCCCCUGGGAUCGGGCCAGCAUCGGUUCUGAUGGUUGGAGAAAGGCGGCGGGAAUGUGGCUUCCUCCGGGAAGUGUUAUAGCCCGCCGUGCAAUACAACCUAUCGGGACCGAGGUCCGCGCUUCGGCUAGGAUGCUGGCGUAAUGGUUGUAACCAUCCCGUCUUGAAACACGG
Molecule: ribosomal RNA, 625 nt
Filed under: uncultured fungus
Lineage: Eukaryota; Fungi
Description: eukaryotic LSU rRNA
Rfam family: Eukaryotic large subunit ribosomal RNA
Source: RNAcentral